This 798-nucleotide long non-coding RNA is filed under the name Elaeis guineensis (African oil palm). RNAcentral describes it as "long non-coding RNA (EGUI_LNC023471)". Lineage: Eukaryota; Viridiplantae; Streptophyta; Magnoliopsida; Arecales; Arecaceae. The record is from RNAcentral.
GGAUUUGAUUGUCUUGUAGUCUUGUGCGGGGAAAACUCUAUGCACACAAAUCUAUUUUUGCAUGCCUCCUUGCAGAUGUGGCUGUUCAUAACAGGCUAUCACCCUUGCCAUCGCACUCAUUUCUAAACUAUAACCUAUUCUUCACUGGAUUUGGCGGCAGCCAACCAUGCACAGCCAUGUCUCCACGUAAUUUCGCAUGCAUGAACCAUCCCUUGCAAGAGCUACGACAUUCUCCCUUAUAGAGAAUUGGGUAAGCUACAGAAUGGAAGAGUCCCGUUCCAUGACCACUAGUAUUACAUUUUGACUGAAAACUUUGGGGACAAUUGAAAUACUAUGCACAUCAACAAGGCAUUUGGUAUGGAAUGAUUAAUCCAAGAUCAACAAUAAUGUUGGUGGAAGUGAUGAGACCAUCGCAUUUAAUUACGUCAUAAUAAUUCUACAUGAUAGUGAUUCAAUGUUAGAAAUAUAUAUGAUGAAUUUCAUUUCUCAUGAGAGUCGAUUGCAUUCUAAUUGGGCUAACAAUUAAAUGUUAUUAUAAAAUUAAUAUUAAAAUUAAUCUAAAAACUUACAAAUGAAGGUAUAUAGUGUACUAUCCUAUAGUGAUUUUCAACUCAUACAGAAUUAGACUCGAGGACUCCGUCUCAAGAUACAACUGGUAAUCUUUUCUAUAGGUACGAUCGUGGAGAGGAUGACAGAGCUUCAAUCCAGCAGAUCAAUGAUCAAAAAAAUAGAUUAAAAAAAAUAUUGAAAGGGGAUUGGAAGAAGAAGAUUUAGAAUAGAGGAAAAUCUUAGAUCAGA